ACGCUCGACACCUACGGGAGGCGGCAGUGGGGGAAUAUUGCACAAUGGGGGAAACCCUGAUGCAGCGACGCCGCGUGAGCGAAGAAGUAUUUCGGUAUGUAAAGCUCUAUCAGCAGGGAAGAAGAAAGACGGUACCUGACUAAGAAGCCCCGGCUAACUACGUGCUAGCAGCCGCGGUAAUCUGAGCGGGCUGGCAAGGC
This 200-nucleotide ribosomal RNA is filed under the name uncultured bacterium. RNAcentral describes it as "partial 16S ribosomal RNA". It matches the Rfam family "Bacterial small subunit ribosomal RNA", at positions 328 to 539 of the family's 1533-position model. The record is from RNAcentral.